GACGAACGCUGGCGGCGUGCCUAAUACAUGCAAGUAGAACGCACAGUUUAUACCGUAGCUUGCUACACCAUAGACUGUGAGUUGCGAACGGGUGAGUAACGCGUAGGUAACCUGCCUGGUAGCGGGGGAUAACUAUUGGAAACAAUAGCUAAUACCGCAUAAUAUUAAUUAUUGCAUGAAAAUUGAUUGAAGGGGGCAAAGGCCUUCCUACCACAUGGACUUGCUUAGGAAAAGCCACAAGGGGGGGAUAACGCCUAACUGGGCUGAGAAGAUGAUCCCUCCCGCUGGGGGUGAUUACGGUCCGGACCCCUGAGACACGUCCCCACUCUCCAAUAUUGCGCACUGUUUUAAACUUGUAACA
Molecule: ribosomal RNA, 361 nt
Filed under: uncultured Actinomyces sp.
Lineage: Bacteria; Bacillati; Actinomycetota; Actinomycetes; Actinomycetales; Actinomycetaceae
Description: bacterial SSU rRNA
Rfam family: Bacterial small subunit ribosomal RNA
Source: RNAcentral